This 340-nucleotide long non-coding RNA is filed under the name Corvus moneduloides (New Caledonian crow). Its description in RNAcentral is "lncRNA (ENSCMUG00000017609.1)". The record is from RNAcentral. Lineage: Eukaryota; Metazoa; Chordata; Aves; Passeriformes; Corvidae.
UAGAUCUCCUUUCCAUAAUCUGUUGUACAAAGACCAAAUCCUUGGCUUGGCUAACAUCCUUAGGAAUAAAUUUACUGCUGUUCCUGAAUUUCCUUCGAGUUCCGCAACGCUCAUGUUGUUUUCGGAGAUGAAGGGACUCCUUUACAGACACCAUUAUCUGGAAUGACAUGGAAGGGGCCUGAUACAUGUCUCUUCUAUGAAAGCAUUUUGGCUCCCUUUUUUCUGGAAAAAGGAAUUGGCUGACAUAAAAGCAAGGAGCCUGUGGAUUUGGCAAGAGGAUAAACACAAAGAUUUCUCUUCAAUUUGCAGCAGAAUAUUGCAUUAUGAGAAACAUGAAUAG